ACUAGGAGUGGUGGCGCACACCUGUAAUCCCCAGAACUCAGGAGGCUGAGACAGGAGGAUCCCAAGUGAGGCCAGCCUUAUCAACUUUGCUAGACCCUGUCUCAA
This 105-nucleotide small RNA is filed under the name Marmota monax (woodchuck). Lineage: Eukaryota; Metazoa; Chordata; Mammalia; Rodentia; Sciuridae. The record is from RNAcentral.